This 1125-nucleotide long non-coding RNA is filed under the name Homo sapiens (human). RNAcentral describes it as "HSALNT0316927". The record is from RNAcentral. Lineage: Eukaryota; Metazoa; Chordata; Mammalia; Primates; Hominidae.
GUCAAGGUUGAGAAUUACUGGGAUUCUAGAGUGAACUGAAGAGAGGGAAAGGAUUUGAAGACAGAAAGAAAAGGGAGGUGUAUGAAAAGUAGAUCUCAUUUCCACAAGUCACAGGGUUAAUGAGUGCAACAGGUUUUGAAUAAUGUUUGCAAUUGAACUUUUAAUGUCAGUAACCCUGGCUUUUAAAUACCCAAUGGGACCAGUCCAGUGCAACAGAAAAUGACAGGAAUGUAUGGAAUCUGGUCAAGGUGUUAAGAGGCUCCAACCCAGUGGGGAAGGGGAAAGCUAUUGAUUAAAACAAAAACUAUUUUGAGUUUUUGUUAUUAUGAGUUGAGCUCCUUAAUGAAGUUUUUCUAUUAUGGCUAUAUUGGCUGCACCCUAAAUGGGGUGUCCUGGGUGAACCAAAUGCUGGUGUAGGGAAAGGAAUGGGAAUGUUGAGGGGAUGGGAAGAGGCAUCAAGAACAGGAAUAUAAUUUUCCUACAGUGCUGUUCUGCUGAGACUACAGAGUACCUCAGGGAGUCAUGCAUCCUCUUCCUGUUGCUUUACUGAAUCUUAAAGAGUGAUACAGUACUAAUGAUGCCAUUCUAGCAACUGGAGCAGCUUCAGGGGAGAGAGCACAUUAAGGGUGCUGGGAUGGUAAUGGUUGGGAGGAAGCUGAAUGGUAGUAAGAGAGACAUUCUGUCCUGAGAACUCUGAUCCAAAAGACAGGCAAUUAGAUUGAAAAAUACCUGUGAUUCAAAGAAGUCACAAGUCACAGAGACAAACUUUUCCCAGUGUGUUCGAGUCAGAGAACCUUUGCAAAGACCAACAGGCUAAAAGAGAAAAUACAAUGUCAUCUUGAUGCAGAUGAGCAGGUAACCAUGGAAGUCGUGAGCUGAGGCUGCAGAGUCUAGAGCCAGAGUGUGGAAUAAACUUGGGUCUCAAAUCACCCCUGGAGCAAAGCACCCAUCUAAUCAGGAACUUCUACUUUCAACUUUACAUGCGUGAGAAAUGAACUUCUAUCAUGUUAGAGAAAUCCUUACACGGCGCCCUUGAGAGCUUUCAUACUGCAAGUCAUCCAUUUUCCUCCCCUCAAACCUGGCAUCGGAGUUUAUUGAAACAAAGCAAAAUAAAACAAAUAGACA